ACCACUCUAAAUUCUUUGUAUUCUUUUUUUUUUCUUGCCUUUAUUUUCACCAAAAUUUUUAAAGGUCAAUUCACCCCCCUCUUGGCAUUUUCGAUUUGCUUCAUCGACCUUCCAUAAAUUUUAGUAGAUUAUAAAUACUAAUUUAUAAGCUUUUAAUUUUAGAUUUUGUUGACAAAACAUUUCUCUUUAAUUUUUCUCAAAUUUAGGUUAUGUUUUAUUUUCUUUUCAUUUUUAGAUUAGGUUUAGAAAUUUUUAUUUUUUGUGUGUGUUCUUU
RNAcentral lists this long non-coding RNA (274 nucleotides) under Gossypium barbadense (sea-island cotton). RNAcentral's name for it is "long non-coding RNA (GBAR_LNC001312)". The record is from RNAcentral. Lineage: Eukaryota; Viridiplantae; Streptophyta; Magnoliopsida; Malvales; Malvaceae.